This 482-nucleotide ribosomal RNA is filed under the name uncultured bacterium. RNAcentral describes it as "partial 16S ribosomal RNA". It matches the Rfam family "Bacterial small subunit ribosomal RNA", at positions 28 to 507 of the family's 1533-position model. The record is from RNAcentral.
GACGAACGCUGGCGGCGUGCUUAACACAUGCAAGUCGAACGCUGAAGCUCAGCUUUUGUUGGGUGGAUGAGUGGCGAACGGGUGAGUAACACGUGAGUAACCUGCCCCCUUCUUUGGGAUAACGCCCGGAAACGGGUGCUAAUACUGGAUAUUCACUGGUCUUCGCAUGGGGGUUGGUGGAAAGGGUUUUUCUGGUGGGGGAUGGGCUCGCGGCCUAUCAGCUUGUUGGUGGGGUGAUGGCCUACCAAGGCUUUGACGGGUAGCCGGCCUGAGAGGGUGACGGGCACAAUGGGGCCUGAAAUCCGCCCAGGACGCCACCGGGGGGAACCGUUGGGAAAAAUUGCCAAUGGGGCCAAAGCUGGUGCCAGGGAGGCCGGGGGGGGAUUGGGGCCUUCGGGUUUGUGACCCCUUUCGCUCAAGGGUAAGCCGCAAACAUUGUUUGUGUGAAGGUAAUGGGUUAAGAAGCGCCGGCUAACUACGUG